This is a long non-coding RNA of Hemicordylus capensis (graceful crag lizard), 475 nucleotides long. RefSeq lists it as uncharacterized. The record is from RefSeq and is a predicted model, not a curated record. The transcript has 3 exons. NCBI's taxonomy places the organism in Eukaryota, Metazoa, Chordata, Lepidosauria, Squamata, Cordylidae.
CUCCUCCCCCAGCAAGGAGCGCACUAGGCUCUCGGGGACUUUGCGCCCCAGCUUGAGCUCGAUGUCUCGCAGAUCUGGCAGGGAACAAUCUUCCAUGGCUUUUGAGUAAAGAAGGCUUUUCGGAUUAAGGGAGCUGCAGUCGGCGGCGGUGGCGGCAGCAGCGGAAGAGCAGAAGAUCCAAGCCUCUAGCCGCACCGCCCGGGACUUGCCGACCUCUCCAUGUUAGUCCAGUUUAGGCCCCCUAAAUAUGGACUCCGUUCAGAAACUACAAGCAGUGCUACUUCAUUCCAUGAAAUUGAUUGCCAGGAAAUUUAGGACCAACAAACGGAGGAUACACAAGCUUUGAUGAGCAGCCCUCCCCCCACCUAUCCAGGGCCUACUCUCUGGCUACAGUAGAGCUCUGUGGAGCUGAUAUGAGCUCUUCUGGCCUUGGCUCUUCUUCCUCUUUUAAUAAAGUUGAAGCCUGUGUUAAUUA